This 672-nucleotide ribosomal RNA is filed under the name uncultured Carnobacteriaceae bacterium. Its description in RNAcentral is "bacterial SSU rRNA". It matches the Rfam family "Bacterial small subunit ribosomal RNA", at positions 78 to 737 of the family's 1533-position model. The record is from RNAcentral. Lineage: Bacteria; Bacillati; Bacillota; Bacilli; Lactobacillales; Carnobacteriaceae.
GCUUGCAGUGAUUGAUUAGUGGCGAACGGGUGAGUAACACGUGAGGAACUUGCCCAUGAGCGGGGGACAACAUUCGGAAACGGAUGCUAAUACCCCAUAGGUGGAUUGGUCGCAUGACUAAUUCAUUAAAGGUGGCUCUGCUACCACUCAUGGAUAGCCUCGCGGCGUAUUAGCUAGUUGGUAAGGUAAUGGCUUACCAAGGCAGUGAUACGUAGCCGACUUGAGAGGGUGGUCGGCCACACUGGGACUGAGACACGGCCCAGACUCCUACGGGAGGCAGCAGUAGGGAAUCUUCCACAAUGGGUGCAAACCUGAUGGAGCAAUGCCGCGUGAGUGAAGAAGGUCUUCGGAUCGUAAAGCUCUGUUGUUAGAGAAGAACACGUGCUAGGUAACUACUAGCGCCUUGACGGUAUCUAACCAGAAAGUCACGGCUAACUACGUGCCAGCAGCCGCGGUAAUACGUAGGUGACAAGCGUUGUCCGGAUUUAUUGGGCGUAAAGGGAGCGCAGGCGGUCUGUUUAGUCUAAUGUGAAAGCCCACGGCUUAACCGUGGAACGGCAUUGGAAACUGACAGACUUGAAUGUAGAAGAGGAAAAUGGAAUUCCAAGUGUAGCGGUGGAAUGCGUAGAUAUUUGGAGGAACACCAGUGGCGAAGGCGAUUUUCUGGUCUAA